Molecule: ribosomal RNA, 114 nt
Filed under: Neogale vison (American mink)
Lineage: Eukaryota; Metazoa; Chordata; Mammalia; Carnivora; Mustelidae
Source: RNAcentral
GUUUACCGCCAUACCAACCUGAACACGCCAGAUCUCGUAUGUUCUUGGACGCUAAGCAGGGUCGGACCUGAUUAGUACUUGGAUGGGAGAAUAGAGAAAAGAACAAGCUAGGCA